GGGGGCGUCCUGGUUUCGACGGGUAGUCUGCGAUCGUGGUAGCAUGCCGAGGAUGAUUCGUUGGCCUCGUUAAUCAUCGGAUCAAACCAAUAAAAGCAAACUCUUCUGAGCUCGCUCUCGCGGCCUAAGCACCGCGACGUCCUCAAGGCAAUGUCUGGUAGCCUUGACGACGUCUUUACCAGACUGGCCAGUUGACCGGGCGACCGGGUCGAAGGCGAGAUUUAACAGGACGCUGGGCUUGAGGUAUUCUGCUGAUUGAAGACCCCUCGCCGAGAUUAAAAAAUCAGAUAAGCAUGUAGAAGCUGCGGUUUACGGCCAUUCGGACAGGGGUUCAACUCCCCUCGCCUCCACCA
RNAcentral lists this transfer-messenger RNA (353 nucleotides) under Prosthecobacter debontii. RNAcentral describes it as "Standard tmRNA". It matches the Rfam family "transfer-messenger RNA". From Rfam's summary of the family: Bacterial tmRNA, also known as 10Sa RNA or SsrA, is named for its dual tRNA and mRNA-like properties. Lineage: Bacteria; Pseudomonadati; Verrucomicrobiota; Verrucomicrobiia; Verrucomicrobiales; Verrucomicrobiaceae. The record is from RNAcentral.